This 515-nucleotide long non-coding RNA is filed under the name Brachypodium distachyon (stiff brome). RNAcentral's name for it is "long non-coding RNA (BDIS_LNC004752)". Lineage: Eukaryota; Viridiplantae; Streptophyta; Magnoliopsida; Poales; Poaceae. The record is from RNAcentral.
UGGGAGAUUGGGAUGGCCAACAAAAAACCCUAACCUGCAAGAUUGGGAACUAUUCGCUCGAGCCGUCACCACGACCUGCCCCAAGUGCUCCUGCGAUGCUGUGCCAGCACCGCAGCCGCUGGACGAGCCAGCCGGAUGCCGCACCUUGAUUCCUGACGCCGCUGGUUGCCGCGUGCUGCCGCAAAUCGUCGCCGUCCGCCCUCCGGCCUCCAGCGUCCAACUCCGGGAUCCGGCAGCAGGUAACCUACAAGCUCUUCUCUACCUUCCAGCGUCUUCCCUCUUCUCUACACCUCCAUAUCCCCUCUACUUCUGUUUUUUUCUUCUCUGAGCCUUUGCGCCUGUGCGUGUGCUGAUGCCCAAUGCUUCUGUUUUAGAAGCAUGGCAUGUACUGGAGGGGGCAGUGGCACUGGCAUGGCUGUUUUAGGAGGCAUGUAUGGUAUUGGAGGCACAGGCAGUAGGAACGCAACAAAUGGGGCAGUAUCUUCUCUUACUAUUUUUGUUUGUUUAAUUGUUUA